This 418-nucleotide long non-coding RNA is filed under the name Cyanistes caeruleus (blue tit). Its description in RNAcentral is "lncRNA (ENSCCEG00000008145.1)". The record is from RNAcentral. Lineage: Eukaryota; Metazoa; Chordata; Aves; Passeriformes; Paridae.
GCCCAUGUGGGGAUGGAACCCACACCCCUGGCAUUUUAAGCACUAGGCUCUCAAAACUGAGCUAAUUUGGGGUCAGCUCACUUUUUGGGGUUCAAAGGCCUGACUAGAUUUUUGAUCUGUUCUUGGCCAUGUUUAGAGCAAGAGGUAAAGCCAUCUGAGGUACUUUGCAACCUGACUGGGUGUUUCUCCUGCUUGCCUACAGCCCCUGCUCUUGGCUGCAACACCGUUCUGCUGCCCUGUGUAAUUUCAGGUCAGUGAAGAUUUCUACACCAAACUCCAGCUAGACCAUCUAGAGGAUGUGCUUGGGGAAACGCCACAUUCAGAAGGAUUUUGUGCUCCUGCCUUCACAAGAGCCAUCAGAACCAGCUGCACUUCGGAGAAUGAGCCAGAGUCACCCUGGGCUUGGAAAGCUGCUGGG